AGUGAACGCUGGCGGUAGGCCUAACACAUGCAAGUCGAACGGCAGCACAGUAAGAGCUUGCUCUUACGGGUGGCGAGUGGCGGACGGGUGAGGAAUACAUCGGAAUCUACUUUUUCGUGGGGGAUAACGUAGGGAAACUUACGCUAAUACCGCAUACGACCUACGGGUGAAAGUAGGGGAUCUUCGGACCUUGCGCGAUUGAAUGAGCCGAUGUCGGAUUAGCUAGUUGGCGGGGUAAAGGCCCACCAAGGCGACGAUCCGUAGCUGGUCUGAGAGGAUGAUCAGCCACACUGGAACUGAGACACGGUCCAGACUCCUACGGGAGUCAGCAGUGGGGAAUAUUGGACAAUGGGCGCAAGCCUGAUCCAGCCAUACCGCGUGGGUGAAGAAGGCCUUCGGGUUGUAAAGCCCUUUUGUUGGGAAAGAAAAGCAGCAGGUUAAUACCCCGCUGUUCUGACGGUACCCAAAGAAUAAGCACCGGCUAACUUCGUG
This 492-nucleotide ribosomal RNA is filed under the name uncultured bacterium. Its description in RNAcentral is "partial 16S ribosomal RNA". It matches the Rfam family "Bacterial small subunit ribosomal RNA", at positions 29 to 507 of the family's 1533-position model. The record is from RNAcentral.